GACGAACGCUGGCGGCGUGCUUAACACAUGCAAGUCGAACGAAGUGGCGAACGGGUGAGUAACGCGUAAUCAACCUGCCCUUCAGAGGGGGACAACAGUUGGAAACGACUGCUAAUACCGCAUACUGAAGGAGGGGAUUGCGUCUGGUUAGCUAGUUGGAGGGGGAACGGCCCACCAAGGCGAUGAUCAGUAGCCGGUCGGGGAGGAUGAACGGCCACAUUGGGACUGGGACACGGCCCCGACUCCUACGGGAGGCAGCAGUGGGGAAUUUUUCGAAAUGGAGGAAAGUCUGACGGAGCAACGCCGCGGGAUGGAUGACGGCCUUCGGGUUGUAAAGCUCUGUUAAGCGGGACGCGGUACCGGAAUAGAAAGCCACGGCUAACUACGUGCCAGCAGCCGCGGUAAUAC
RNAcentral lists this ribosomal RNA (408 nucleotides) under uncultured bacterium. RNAcentral's name for it is "partial 16S ribosomal RNA". It matches the Rfam family "Bacterial small subunit ribosomal RNA", at positions 28 to 526 of the family's 1533-position model. The record is from RNAcentral.